This is a long non-coding RNA of Suricata suricatta (meerkat), 571 nucleotides long. RefSeq lists it as uncharacterized. The transcript is spliced from 3 exons. NCBI's taxonomy places the organism in Eukaryota, Metazoa, Chordata, Mammalia, Carnivora, Herpestidae. The record is from RefSeq and is a predicted model, not a curated record.
AUGGGGGGAAGGGGAAGGGCGUUCUGAGUAUAGAGGCUUUUCAUUGGCUGAUUUGUGGCAGUCUCUUAUUGGCUGGGCUGUUGCUGGGGGAAGAAAGGCUCCCCUUCAGCUGGCGGAGGAAAGGCAGCGUGCACGUGCAAGUUGGGAUCUGCACUCGACAGAGGCCAAGGGCCGAGGAGCUUCACCUGCAGCGCCCCCACCUCGUUCUACGAGAGGUUUCCCUGUGUCGAUUCUCACACUCCACACCUGGGUCAGAGGAUCGGGCCCUGAGUCUCGGCCUGGCUUGGUGCUGGCUACAGAGACAGGGCAAGGAGAGCAGAGGACGGGGUCCCCCCGCCCGGUCCUGACAACAGCCGCUGUGCGGUGAAGCCAGAGGUCCUCAGCCACCCCGAGCAGUCCUCUCUGCUCUCCUCAGAGCACCCCUUCAUUGUGCCUGGAGGGCGCUUUGUCGAAUUCUACUACUGGGACUCCUACUGGGUGAUGGAGGGGCUGCUCCUGUCUGAGAUGGCCGCGACCGUGAAGGGCAUGCUGCAGAACUUCCUGGACCUGGUGCGAACGUAAGAGGGGGCGG